UUCGGAAUAUUCGGCAAUGGACGAAAGUCUGACCGAGCGACGCCGCGUGCGGGAUGAAGGCCCUCUGGGUUGUAAACCGCUUUCGCGAGUGAGCAAAUCAAGACUGGUAAACAGCCAGUUAUGUUGAGUUAAGCUCGUAAAGAAGCCCCCGCUAAUCACGUGCCAGCAGCGGCGGUAAUACGUGAGGGGCGAACGUUGUUCGGUGUCACUGGGCUUAAAGGGUGCGUAGGUGGCUUCGUAAGUAAGGAGUGAAAUCCCUCGGCUUACCCGGGGAAUUGCUUUUUAUACUGCGAGGCUUGAGGAUCAGAGGGGAAAGAGGAACUCCGAGUGUAGCGGUGAAAUGCGCAGAUAUUCGGGGGAAGGCCGGCGGCGAAGGCGUCUUUCUGGCUGAUUCCUGACACUGAGGCACGAAAGCGUGGGGAGCAAACAGGAUUAGAUACCCGCGUAGUCC
This 451-nucleotide ribosomal RNA is filed under the name uncultured bacterium. RNAcentral describes it as "bacterial SSU rRNA". It matches the Rfam family "Bacterial small subunit ribosomal RNA", at positions 355 to 796 of the family's 1533-position model. The record is from RNAcentral.